Molecule: small nuclear RNA, 18 nt
Filed under: Arabidopsis thaliana (thale cress)
Lineage: Eukaryota; Viridiplantae; Streptophyta; Magnoliopsida; Brassicales; Brassicaceae
Description: snRNA_11593
Source: RNAcentral
GUUCCUGCUCACCACCGA